This is a long non-coding RNA of Scylla paramamosain (green mud crab), 1970 nucleotides long. RefSeq lists it as uncharacterized. The record is from RefSeq and is a predicted model, not a curated record. The transcript has 3 exons. Lineage: Eukaryota; Metazoa; Arthropoda; Malacostraca; Decapoda; Portunidae.
CAAAGUUAAAAUAUAUGCAUUAACAUUAAUAACUUUAAGAUCUAAUGUUAGUCACGGAUAUAAUUAGUUACGUGAGUCUACAUAAAUCUCAGUAUGUGAUCAGUUCAAGAAGUAACCAUCGAGGCUGAAUGUAUCUAUGUCCAUAUUAUAUUCCUUAUAUCCAUGGCAGCGAAGCACACCGCGCCAUCUUGCUGAAUCUGCCGAUUUGAGAUCUAUCGCCUUCAAAGCUACGGAUGGACAUGAUUAUUUUCGCCUCACACCCUCACCGCAGCGUUAUGUUACUGUGGUACUGUGAUCAACGCGAAAUAAGCCAUGGACUAUCUCGACAUAAGCUUUAUUUUACGGGAAACAAUGAAGGUCAGCAGGGGACAACAAGGCGUGGCAACCGUCUGCGCUUCGAUUACAGAGUCGGACAGUUGUUCGAACCACUCACCACCCGAGCCAUAAGAGAACGCCAGCCAUGGACGCCUUGGAAAUAACGCAAAGGAAAUAGAAAAAAGAAAUGACUUGAGAUUUGCGGCACAGUAUCGCACAGUAUCUACAUGCCGCACAUGGAUGAAGCAAGAAUUGGAGAGGAAGGAGAAUGUAAACUAUCAAGACGAGGAAAAACAAGUGAUAAGCAAGAGACUCCCACGCAGCACUCCUGACACGCUAUCGCCAGCAGGUCAAAGCUCCACGAGGCCCAAGAUUGAACCCGGAGCAACAGGAGGAGGAGAGAGAGAGAGAGAGAGAGAGAGAGAGAGAGUAGACAACAAAGAAGGAGCAAGAAGGUGAUUCGUUUGUACUGCUUCACUGCUUGGGGUUCGGAGGUGAGCGUGUGAGUGUGAAUGAACCGCAAGAGGGAGGGAGAGGGAGGAGAAUAAGAGAGGGAGAGAGGGAGGAACAGACACACAAGCACACCUACACACACAGACAUACAGGAGGGGAAGUCAGGAGGGUGAGCGAGUGAGGGACACGAGGACUAACUUGCUUUGCUUCGCUAUUGUUACCUCGUCUUAUUUUCCCUUGGCCUCGCAGUGCAUACUAGAAACAGAUUAACUUAACUGGACCAGUCUGGGGGAGAGGGUGUUCUGAGUAAAGCAAGGGAGCGAGGGGAGACUGGUGGUGGCCGGAACAGGGGAGAGGGAGAGAGCGUGGCAUUAAGGGAGGGAGUGGAAGUUAAGUCAGGGAGUGAGACAUGGUGGAACAGGGAGAGGAAGGGAGUCAAGACAAGGAAACCAGGGCAGAGGGAAGGGGUUAUAGGAGAGAAGGGGAAAAGAAGGAAGCAGGGAGAAAUGGAGCAGACAAGGAGAAACAGAGUUAUGAGGAUAGACAUAGAGGAAAGGAAAAUAGUAAUAGAGGAAGGAAAGACAAGGAGAGGAAAGACAGGGAGGAGGAGAAGGAGGAAAGGCAGGGAGAGGAGGAAGCAAGGAGAGGGAGAAAAAAGAGAAAAGACAGAGAGAAGAAAACUGGGACAGACAAGACAAAGAUAUAAAGGGGAAAGAAAGAAAGGAGAAGGAAAAAAACAAAAGAGUGACGAGGAGAGACAGAGAAAAGAGAGAGAAAAGAAACCCAGGGAGAAAGGGAGCGAGAAAGAGAGGAAGGGAGGCAGUGGAAGGGUGAAAACGCCUCACUCAUGAUUUUUUCCCCUGUCAGUGAACAAGAUUACCUGAGUGGACGAACGGAAGUCCCUGUACAGGUAACGAGGUACAGGUAACAGGUACAGGUAAUCCAAGCAACAGGGAGAGGCGCGAGAACAGAACCCCCCUCCCGACUGACUGGCGCCUCCAUGCAAGCGACUGUCUGACGAGGAAGCGGAAGCACAGGAAGACGAAGACAAGGUAAUACAUGGAAAGAUAAGAAUGAGGAGGGAAGGAUGGGUUGAGUAUCGAGGAGGAGAAUGAAGGGGCGAGGACGAGAAGGGAGAAAUAAUGAAGGACGAGGACAGAAGAACGAGAACAUAAGAAUAUAGAAGGAAUACAAAGAUGGAA